UCGAAGCGGGGGCGGGGCCCGGCGCGAGCCACCGGUGCCGCCCCCCGGGCCCGGCGCCGUCGGAGUGUCUUACGGGUGUUCGUGCCCCCUGCAACAGUCUUCGGCCCUUAGAUUUUCUUUUUUGCUUGUGGUUAUUGCGAAAUAAUUACUGUCCCCAAUAAGAUCUUGUCCUCAUUAGCUCCGCUGUGAGUUCAGUCAAAUAGCCCAGAGGCCGUGGAGCGGCCUCGCUCACACCGUAAUAACGGGGGAACAGCUUGGCUUGCAGCUUUGCCUUAUUACCUGAUUACACAGGAAGAAGGAUCGCACUGAACACAAAUUAAAUUUGCAUCUUGGCUCUGAUCUGCGCUGUAACCACUGACCAGCAAUGAGCAGGAGUAGGAAAUUUAGUGGAAUAACGUUCUGCUGAUAUUCGAAGUAGUUGGAUUUUACCAAAACCAAUGGAGUUGCCUGUCUGUAAAUAAAAGAAUUAGCACUUUUUGUCUUUUAUCCAUUUUGAUCAAUUUUUAAGGUUGGAUAUGAAGGAUGAGAAGCCAAAUGACAAUACAGGUCCAUGCAGAACAUUCCUUAUGGCUGACAAGCCAUCACCAAAACCCACCUCUGGGAGCUUGCCAAGAAAGGAUCCAAACAUUGCUGUGUGAUUGCAUCCACUGCUGCCAGAAUCUGCAGCUGAAUCAAACUUUUUGUAUCUGCUGACAGGCCUAAAAGAAUCCAUGCUGACACUAGAGCACAUCUAUUAACCUCUUCCUAGGUCAAUUAAA
This is a long non-coding RNA of Neopelma chrysocephalum (saffron-crested tyrant-manakin), 758 nucleotides long. RefSeq lists it as uncharacterized. The record is from RefSeq and is a predicted model, not a curated record. The transcript is spliced from 2 exons. NCBI's taxonomy places the organism in Eukaryota, Metazoa, Chordata, Aves, Passeriformes, Pipridae.